UACGAAGGGGGCUAGCGUUGCUCGGAAUGACUGGGCGUAAAGGGCGCGUAGGCGGUUUGUACAGUCAGGUGUGAAAUUCCCGGGCUCAACCUGGGGGCUGCACUUGAUACGUAUGGACUGGAGUGGGGAAGAGGGUCGUGGAAUUCCCAGUGUAGAGGUGAAAUUCGUAGAUAUCGGAAGGAACACCAGUGGCGAAAGCGGCUCCCUGGUCCAGCACCGACGUUCAGGCACGAAAGCGUGGGGAGCAAACAGG
This 253-nucleotide ribosomal RNA is filed under the name uncultured bacterium. RNAcentral's name for it is "partial 16S ribosomal RNA". It matches the Rfam family "Bacterial small subunit ribosomal RNA", at positions 524 to 776 of the family's 1533-position model. The record is from RNAcentral.